AACAUGACUCUUGGCAAUGGAUAUCUUAUAUCUCACCCUGAUGAAGAAUGUAGUGAAAUAUCAUACUUAGUGUGAAUUGUAGAAUCUUGUGAAUCAUCAAGCCUUUGAACAUAAGUUAUACCUGAGGCCUCGACUGAUGGCACGUCUUCUUAGGCAUUGUAC
Molecule: ribosomal RNA, 162 nt
Filed under: Cephalotaxus hainanensis
Lineage: Eukaryota; Viridiplantae; Streptophyta; Pinopsida; Cupressales; Taxaceae
Description: 5.8S ribosomal RNA
Rfam family: 5.8S ribosomal RNA
About the family: 5.8S ribosomal RNA (5.8S rRNA) is a component of the large subunit of the eukaryotic ribosome. It is transcribed by RNA polymerase I as part of the 45S precursor that also contains 18S and 28S rRNA.
Source: RNAcentral